This 372-nucleotide ribosomal RNA is filed under the name uncultured organism. Its description in RNAcentral is "partial 16S ribosomal RNA". It matches the Rfam family "Bacterial small subunit ribosomal RNA", at positions 527 to 896 of the family's 1533-position model. The record is from RNAcentral.
GUAGGUGGCAAGCGUUGUCCGGAAUUAUUGGGCGUAAAGCGCGCGCAGGCGGUUCUUUAAGUCUGAUGUGAAAGCCCACGGCUCAACCGUGGAGGGUCAUUGGGAACUGGAGAACUUGAGUACAGAAGAGGAAAGCGGAAUUCCACGUGUAGCGGUGAAAUGCGUAGAGAUGUGGAGGAACACCAGUGGCGAAGGCGGCUUUCUGGUCUGUAACUGACGCUGAGGCGCGAAAGCGUGGGGAGCAAACAGGGAUUAGAUACCCUGGUAGUCCACGCCGUAAACGAUGAGUGCUAAGUGUUAGGGGGUUUCCGCCCCCUUAGUGCUGCAGCUAACGCAUUAAGCACUCCGCCUGGGGAUACGGCCGCAAGGCUG